UGAAGAUUUCACUGGCCAAAUUUGACCAAACAUGUCUGGUCUGUUGUGUUUUGCGAUGAUGUUCUAAUCUGAACCUGAAGUUUUCACACAGAAAAAUCAGAUGAGGACACAGGACUCUCAACCAGGUUUUUCAGACACGCCCACAGUCCACAGCCCCUUCUGUUUCAUGAGCACUCUGAAAAUCAAGACACAAGACAAACAACCCCUUUGAACAAAGCUUUCUGAAGCAUCAUUCCAGCUAUAAAGGGAUGGAGAAGAAAGACCUUGAUCUUUGACUGCAUGGUAAGAGAUGCACCAAACUCCAUGCAGGAGUGAAAUCCUGCUGGGAUCACCACUGGAAUUCAGGUAUAACUAACUAGAAAACAUUAUGUGUUAUGUUUAUUUUACAUUAUCUCUUCUGUUUGCAUAUGCUGAAGAUGUCUAAAGACAUCGUACUCUUGACAUGCCCAUGACAAAGUUGCUAACAAAUUUGGCUUCCUGAUGGGAAGUCACCCAAGCCUGAAAUGUGCCACCUGCCCCUUCCCCUCCACACACUGGGCAUUCUCAGG
This 548-nucleotide long non-coding RNA is filed under the name Corvus moneduloides (New Caledonian crow). RNAcentral describes it as "lncRNA (ENSCMUG00000019152.1)". Lineage: Eukaryota; Metazoa; Chordata; Aves; Passeriformes; Corvidae. The record is from RNAcentral.